RNAcentral lists this ribosomal RNA (253 nucleotides) under uncultured bacterium. RNAcentral's name for it is "partial 16S ribosomal RNA". It matches the Rfam family "Bacterial small subunit ribosomal RNA", at positions 524 to 776 of the family's 1533-position model. The record is from RNAcentral.
UACAGAGGUCCCGAGCGUUGUUCGGAUUCACUGGGCGUAAAGGGUGCGUAGGUGGUGAGGUAAGUCGGAUGUGAAAUCUCGGAGCUCAACUCCGAAAUGGCAUUGGAAACUGCCUUGCUAGAGGUUCGGAGGGGGGACUGGAAUACUUGGUGUAGCAGUGAAAUGCGUAGAUAUCAAGUGGAACACCAGUGGCGAAGGCGAGUCCCUGGACGAGACCUGACACUGAGGCACGAAAGCUAGGGGAGCAAACAGG